UACGGGGGGGGCAAGCGUUGUUCGGAAUUACUGGGCGUAAAGGGCUCGUAGGCGGCCAACUAAGUCGGAUGUGAAAUCCCCAGGCUUAACCUGGGAACUGCAUCCGAUACUGGAUGGCUUGAAUCCGGGAGAGGGAUGCAGAAUUCCAGGUGUAGCGGUGAAAUGCGUAGAUAUCUGGAGGAAUACCGGUGGCGAAGGCGGCAUCCUGGACCGGCAUUGACGCUGAGGAGCGAAAGCUAAGGGAGCAAACGGG
This 253-nucleotide ribosomal RNA is filed under the name uncultured bacterium. Its description in RNAcentral is "partial 16S ribosomal RNA". It matches the Rfam family "Bacterial small subunit ribosomal RNA", at positions 524 to 776 of the family's 1533-position model. The record is from RNAcentral.